UGGAUUAGGCAUGCAAGUCGAGCGAGAAGCUUUAGUUUGACGCUUCGGUUGAUUUCUAAAGUGGACAGCGGCGCAAGGGAGAGUAACGCGUAGUUAUCUACCCCGGGGUCCGGAAUAGCUGAGGGAAACUUCAGGUAAUGCCGGAUGAUAUCUUCGGAUCAAAGGUGUGAUUCCGCCCUGGGAGGGGACUGCGUACUACUAGCUUGUUGGUAGGGUAAUGGCCUACCAAGGCUUUGAUGGUUAGCGGGCGUGAGAGCGUGGCCCGUCUCACUGGGACUGAAACACUGCCCAGACACCUACGGGUGGCUGCAGUCGAGAAUCUUCGGCAAUGGGCGAAAGCCUGACCGAGCGAUGCCGCGUGCGGGAUGAAGGCCUUCGGGUUGUAAACCGCUGUCAGUUGGGAGGAAGGGUCUGUGAAGAGCAGAUCUUGACCUAUCUUCAGAGGAAGUCCGGGCUAAGUUCGUGCCAGCAGCCGCGGUAACACGAACCGGACAAACGUUAUUCGGAAUUAUUGGGCUUAAAGGGUGCGUAGGCGGCGAUGUAGGUGGGGUGUGAAAUCCCUCGGCUCAACCGAGGAACUGCGCUCCAAACCACAUGGCUAGAGGGAGACAGAGGUAAGCGGAACUGAUGGUGGAGCGGUGAAAUGCGUUGAUAUCAUCAGGAACACCAGUGGCGAAAGCGGCUUACUGGGUCUCUUCUGACGCUGAGGCACGAAAGCUAGGGUAGCGAACGGGAUUAGAUACCCCGG
Molecule: ribosomal RNA, 748 nt
Filed under: uncultured Planctomycetaceae bacterium
Lineage: Bacteria; Pseudomonadati; Planctomycetota; Planctomycetia; Planctomycetales; Planctomycetaceae
Description: bacterial SSU rRNA
Rfam family: Bacterial small subunit ribosomal RNA
Source: RNAcentral